Molecule: ribosomal RNA, 649 nt
Filed under: Tolypothrix sp. Ep_Yyy1400
Lineage: Bacteria; Bacillati; Cyanobacteriota; Cyanophyceae; Nostocales; Tolypothrichaceae
Description: bacterial SSU rRNA
Rfam family: Bacterial small subunit ribosomal RNA
Source: RNAcentral
CGGGUGAGUAACGCGUGAGAAUCUGCCUUCAGGUUCGGGACAACCACUGGAAACGGUGGCUAAUACCGAAUGUGCAGCGAUGUGAAAAAUUUAUUGCCUGAAGAUGAGCUCGCGUCUGAUUAGCUAGUAGGUGUGGUAAGAGCGCACCUAGGCGACGAUCAGUAGCUGGUCUGAGAGGAUGAUCAGCCACACUGGGACUGAGACACGGCCCAGACUCCUACGGGAGGCAGCAGUGGGGAAUUUUCCGCAAUGGGCGAAAGCCUGACGGAGCAAUACCGCGUGAGGGAGGAAGGCUCUUGGGUUGUAAACCUCUUUUCUCAAGGAAGAAAAAAAUGACGGUACUUGAGGAAUAAGCAUCGGCUAACUCCGUGCCAGCAGCCGCGGUAAUACGGAGGAUGCAAGCGUUAUCCGGAAUGAUUGGGCGUAAAGCGUCCGCAGGUGGCUGUGUAAGUCUGCUGUUAAAUAGUGAGGCUCAACCUCAUAAAGGCAGUGGAAACUACACGGCUAGAGUGCGUUCGGGGCAGAGGGAAUUCCUGGUGUAGCGGUGAAAUGCGUAGAGAUCAGGAAGAACACCGGUGGCGAAAGCGCUCUGCUAGGCCGCAACUGACACUGAGGGACGAAAGCUAGGGGAGCGAAUGGGAUUAGAUAC